This is a non-coding RNA of Lentinula aciculospora, 80 nucleotides long. The record is from the annotation of a GenBank genome assembly. Lineage: Eukaryota; Fungi; Basidiomycota; Agaricomycetes; Agaricales; Omphalotaceae.
GGUCCAAUAGUGUAGAGGUUAUCACACGGGAUUCUGAUUAUAGAGUUCCCGUAACCCAGGUUCGAGUCCUGGUUGGACCU